CUAUGACAAAUAGUUUGUCAUGGCGGAAGGAG
Molecule: non-coding RNA, 32 nt
Filed under: unclassified sequences
Description: L31-Firmicutes ribosomal protein leader
Rfam family: L31-Firmicutes ribosomal protein leader
Source: RNAcentral